GGUCCAAUGGUCUAGUUGGUUAGGACGUCGGAUUCUGACGAAUGUUGAGAGUUCCGUAAGCCCAGGUUCGAAUCCUGGUUGGACCU
This 86-nucleotide transfer RNA is filed under the name Scedosporium apiospermum. It matches the Rfam family "tRNA". From Rfam's summary of the family: Transfer RNA (tRNA) molecules are approximately 80 nucleotides in length. The record is from Rfam by way of RNAcentral. Lineage: Eukaryota; Fungi; Ascomycota; Sordariomycetes; Microascales; Microascaceae.